This 1403-nucleotide long non-coding RNA is filed under the name Felis catus (domestic cat). RNAcentral's name for it is "lncRNA (ENSFCAG00000045512.2)". The record is from RNAcentral. Lineage: Eukaryota; Metazoa; Chordata; Mammalia; Carnivora; Felidae.
CCUGUCUCAACAAAGAUGGGCAAUUUGCAUGCCUCGCCUUUAUGGAGCAUGUCUGAAACCAGAAUCAAGUUUCACGUGUCAGCUAAUUCUGCCUUUUCGCUUCCCCUGUGCUUUACUUCAGGUCCUAGAAGUCCACCUGCACACGAGCUCACCCCGGUGCAAGCCGGGCUCCAACCUAAUCCAUAGAGGCUCUACGUUGCUCUCAGUGAGCCACAUUACCGGGAUGGCAUGCAAGAAUCAAGGGGCCAGAGUCAAGAGCUGCGUUCCAUUGUAAUUCUCCAGCGGUCAUGGAUAGCUGGAGCCUUUGAAAUGGACACAGAUGAUUUAUGGGCAGAAAGCAUUGAGAGGAUAAAGUCUCAGGAAUGAAAAUCCAAGAGGAGAAAUAAAUGGGGAAUGCAUCCCAGGGAGAGGAAUAAUAUUUACUAGAGUAUGUUUGUUUCAAGGCGGAUUCCUAAGUUUUACUGCUUAGAGUGGUAAUCUUUGUGAGAAAUUUCAGGCCAGAAGAGAGGACUUGAGAAGCCAGUCUGGGAACUCCUUUAGGUCAGGGAUCAUGGUCUUAGCUCCGAGUCGCAAUGCUCUGUGCAGUGACUGGUACAUGACAGGUGCCAAAUUCAUGUACGCUGAGUUGAACUAUAGACCUUUCUACAGCGUCUCUGCUUCCAAGUAUAGGCUUCAGCUGGGCAGAGGGGCUGUGGGUCCUACCUGGGUGUCAUUCUUCAGUGCACCGAGGAUUCCUGACCGCAGCGUCUGGCUAAGGGGCUGAGACAGGAGCAGGACGGUGAAGAUGGCUGCGAAAGCAGGGGAUUUCUGCUCCAAGCGCUCCCUGUCCUCCAUCGAAUGAUGCAGGGUUCGCACGGAUCCUUUCUACUCUGCUCUCAAGGGAUGCGAAAGAUUCGGAUGUCAGCUUUCCUCCCGAAGGCUUUCAGAAUCAGACUGAUUGCUCUGUCUCGGCCAGUACCUUCCAGAUUCUCUCAGAGGGACCUCCUGAUGGUGUUCAGAUGGAAGGUGUCAGUGUUUCACAGCAAAUGCAAUAACGAGGCCCCAUGCUUCCCAAGAACCAUUAAAUUCAAUUGGAUUUCAGCAACUGGUGAGGUGACCUCAGCAAAGGCCUAUUUACAUGCGGCUUGAAACGGGUUCCCCUCUGAGCAGCUCAGCACAUUGUCAAACCGGUCUUGACUUGAAAGACAUAUGGCAUCAGCAUGGAAGAUGUCAUGUAAGUUACCCCCACCCCCACCCCCAAGAUUUUCGAAAGAUGUUACAUCCUGCAUCUGGGGCCUACAGAGCUGAGGUGGUGGAGAGCAGGCAGCUCUGCAGGGGAAGCUGCCAGGGGGCCGGAGACCCCAUCUGGAGAAGGUCCUGAGCUGGUUUCUGUGGAGCAAAUGAAGGAGAAAAACAACUGACCG